CACGUCUCAUGUUGCGUAAUACAUACCGUCACCAGAGGGCUCCACUCACACCAAAUAAAUACUGAAGCACAAGGGAGGCAUUGACCACUGACUGAGUUUUACUGAAAGAAACAAGUCUUCUUCGUGACAGAAGUUCACUGCCAGGAGGAAACAUGAAGACUCUCCUGACUGCCACAUGGCUGGUUUUCCUCUUUUACCCUUAUGGGACAAUGACCGAGCUCACCUUCAGAGAACGUUUAGGGGACUCAAUACGGCACCACAGUUUAGGUCUCUGAAAGCUACAUUCCAAGGACGAUACCGACGCCAUUUACGGACCCAUCAUGGCACAGCUUCCAAGCGCGUUUUGCCGUCUUUCGAGGACGGGUAGCUGAGUGCUGGUCAGCCAACACAAAAUCAGGCGGCGGUCCAGAAACAUCCAUUCGACGUCGUGGCCUCCUUUGCCUCAACCGGGGGACGCCAGAUACCUUCUCGACCCGCCGAACCUGCGGGCCUCCUCAGUUCCCCGACGCUGCCGUCACUCCUGGGGCUCACUCGGCCUGCCCGGCAUCGCUGCCACACCUGUGGACCUGCUCACCUUUCCGACACCGCCUGUAGUCCUCCUCGGCCCACCAACACUGCUGCCGCACCCGUGGGCCUCCUCUGCCUGCUGACGCUGCUACCUGUGUACUUCCUCGACCUGCCGACGCCCUUGCCGCACUUGUGGUUGUCCCCACGGCCCAUCCCACGCCGCCACCACACGCAAUGCAGCUCCCUCCGCAGUGUUGGUCGCCCUCAGUCGACAGUAGAACCCCCCAGGCAACCUCCAGGGGAGGCAUCCUGUCAGCCAGCAAUGCCGAAGGACUCUACAUUCGGUAACGCCCCACAACAAGUGUCACAAUGACAUGGGGUCGCCUUCUGCCUCCAAGAUAUUUUUCAUCCAAUCAUUAUUCCAUAAUCAUUGUCUUGGGGGGAGUAUUUGUAAGGACAACGCUUUUUCUAUAUUUUUAUUGUAUUUCAUUAUCAAGCCAUGUUGUUCCUUUAACCAUUCUACAGAGCGUUCCAAGGCCUUUCCGCCGAUGUAUAACUCAUGUAAUUUCAUUAUUUGUAUAUCUUAUUAUCUUUAAAUGUAUGUCUCCGAGAAAACACAAAUCCUUCUGGCCUAGACCCAGUUUCUCUCUGUUCAGGUAGGUUACUACAUAUCCAUCCGCAGCCUCCUUUAUAGCCUGAUUUUACCUGUAAUAAAUUAUCAGUAACCA
Long non-coding RNA from Macrobrachium nipponense, 1235 nucleotides. RefSeq lists it as uncharacterized. The record is from RefSeq and is a predicted model, not a curated record. Lineage: Eukaryota; Metazoa; Arthropoda; Malacostraca; Decapoda; Palaemonidae. The transcript is spliced from 2 exons.